AUUGAACGCUGGCGGCAUGCUUUACACAUGCAAGUCGAACGGUAACAGGCCUUCGGGUGCUGACGAGUGGCGAACGGGCGAGUAAUGCAUCGGAACGUACCCAGAGGUGGGGGAUAACGCAGCGAAAGCUGUGCGAAUACAGCAUGUGAUAUGAGGAUGAAAGCGGGGGACCGAGCAGCAAUGUUUGGCCUCGCGCCUUUGGAGCGGCCGAUGUCGGAUUAGCUAGUUGGUGGGGUAAAGGCCUACCAAGGCGACGAUCCGUAGCUGGUCUGAGAGGAGGACCGCCCACACUGGGCCUGGAACACGCCCCAGACUCCUACGGGAGGCAGCAGUGGGGAACUUUCGACAUGGGGCGCAAGCCUGCUCCAGCAAUGCCGCGGGCGGGAAGAAGGCCUUCGGUUGGUAAACCGCUUUUGGCAGGAACGAAACGGUGUCCGCUAAUACCGCGCUCUAAUGACGGUACCUGAAGAGUAAGCACCGGCUAACUACGUG
Molecule: ribosomal RNA, 492 nt
Filed under: uncultured bacterium
Lineage: Bacteria
Description: partial 16S ribosomal RNA
Rfam family: Bacterial small subunit ribosomal RNA
Source: RNAcentral